RNAcentral lists this ribosomal RNA (914 nucleotides) under uncultured archaeon. Its description in RNAcentral is "bacterial SSU rRNA". It matches the Rfam family "Archaeal small subunit ribosomal RNA", at positions 1 to 922 of the family's 1478-position model. The record is from RNAcentral.
UUCCGGUUGAUCCUGCCGGACCUGACUACUAUCGGAUUGAUACUAAGCCAUGCGAGUCAUUGUAGCAAUACAAGGCAUACGGCUCAGUAACGCGUAGUCAACCUAACCUAUGGACGGGAAUAACCUCGGGAAACUGAGAAUAAUGCCCGAUAGAACAUUAUACCUGGAAUGGUUUAUGUUCCAAAUGAUUUAUCGCCGUAGGAUGGGACUGCGGCCUAUCAGUUUGUUGGUGAGGUAAUGGCCCACCAAGACUAUUACAGGUACGGGCUCUGAGAGGAGUAGCCCGGAGAUGGGUACUGAGACACGGACCCAGGCCCUAUGGGGCGCAGCAGGCGAGAAAACUUUGCAAUGUGCGAAAGCACGACAAGGUUAAUCCGAGUGAUUUCUGCUAAAGAAAUCUUUUGUUAGUCUUAGAAACACUAACGAAUAAGGGGUGGGCAAGUUCUGGUGUCAGCCGCCGCGGUAAAACCAGCACCUCAAGUGGUCAGGAUGAUUAUUGGGCCUAAAGCAUCCGUAGCCGGCUCUGUAAGUUUUCGGUUAAAUCUGUACGCUCAACGUACAGGCUGCCGGGAAUACUGCAUAGCUAGGGAGUGGGAGAAGUAGACGGUACUCGGUAGGAAGUGGUAAAAUGCUUUGAUCUAUCGAUGACCACCUGUGGCGAAGGCGGUCUACUAGAACACGUCCGACGGUGAGGGAUGAAAGCUGGGGGAGCAAACCGGAUUAGAUACCCGGGUAGUCCCAGCUGUAAACUAUGCAAACUCAGUGAUGCAUUGGCUUGUGGCCAAUGCAGUGCUGCAGGGAAGCCGUUAAGUUUGCCGCCUGAGAAGUACGUACGCAAGUAUGAAACUUAAAGGAAUUGGCGGGGGAGCACCACAAGGGGUGAAGCCUGCGGCUCAAUUGGAAUCAACGCCGGA